RNAcentral lists this ribosomal RNA (397 nucleotides) under uncultured bacterium. RNAcentral's name for it is "partial 16S ribosomal RNA". It matches the Rfam family "Bacterial small subunit ribosomal RNA", at positions 523 to 918 of the family's 1533-position model. The record is from RNAcentral.
AUACGUAGGGGGCGAGCGUUGUCCGGAAUGAUUGGGCGUAAAGGGCGCGUAGGCGGCCCGGUAAGUCUGGAGUGAAAGUCCUGUUUUUAAGAUGGGAAUUGCUUUGGAUACUGUCGGGCUUGAGUGCAGGAGAGGUAAGUGGAAUUCCCAGUGUAGCGGUGAAAUGCGUAGAGAUUGGGAGGAACACCAGUGGCGAAGGCGACUUACUGGACUGUAACUGACGCUUAGGCGCGAAAGUGUGGGGAGCAAACAGGAUUAGAUACCCUGGUAGUCCACACCGUAAACGAUGAAUGCUAGGUGUAGGGGGUAUCGACCCCUUCUGUGCCGCAGUCAACACAAUAAGCAUUCCGCCUGGGGAGUACGGCCGCAAGGUUGAAACUCAAAUGAAUUGACGGGG